UGACACACAACGUGUUAAAUAUGCGCUUGCCGAAAGUUGACGUUAAUCCUAUAAACAAUCAAGCAAACAGUUUAACCCCUCCCUCUCCCUCUUCAAAUUUCCAGACAUAAAAGCCGGCGGCAAGGCUAGAAGUAAGAACACAAAUCCAUCAGACGAAUACUAAUAAUCGACGAUGAGUAGCCAUCUCUCCUCUUGGUCUCGGCUAGAAGACAAGCAAUUCGAGCAGGCCCUUGUUUUGUUUCCUGAGGAAACGCCAAAACGGUGGGAAAAGAUUUCAAGCUAUGUUCCUGGAAAGAGUUGGCGUGAAGUAAGGAAACAUUACGAGGAUUUGGUUCACGAUGUCUUGGAGAUUGACUCUGGACGAGUUGAGGUGCCCGUUUAUGAUCAGGAUGAGUUGUGGGGCGACUCGACUACGAGUUUUGGUGCUGCUGCGGAGCCUAGAUCAGGAAAGGAGAGAGAGCAUACAGAGAGGAGGAAAGGAACUCCUUGGACAGAAGAAGAGCACAGGCUGUUCUUGAUUGGACUGCAAAAAUAUGGGAAGGGAGAUUGGAGGAGUAUUUCAAGAAAUGCAGUUGUGUCAAGAACACCUACACAGGUGGCCAGUCAUGCCCAGAAGUAUUUUCUUCGUCUAAACUCCGUGAAGAAGGAAAAGAAGAGGUCUAGCAUACAUGACAUUACUGCAACUAAUGCGACCCAUUCAACGGCACAAACCAAUCAUGAUCCAAUUUGGAAUUUUGAGCUGAUGGACCAAUCGGUGGAUGCACUGAGCCGCCCAGCAAACUUUUUCCAUGAUCAAGGAAACCCACCAGCCUAUCAAGGGUUCGGAUUUCCCAUGUGAUUGAAGAACAGGAGUUGGAUAUCUUGUAAACUUGACUUUCUAGUCUAAUCUGAAGCAACCAGCUAGCAAGGUCCAGUAGGGACUAGAGAUAUGAAAAAGGAAAUUAGGGAUUUUUAUUUAGUUUGUGAAACGAGUGGAGACCCCAACCGUGUGUAAGAAGUUUACAAAGAGGGAAAGGGAAAGGGAAGUAAUGUAUGGUUUAAAAUAUUACAAAAAUUGCAGUGCAAAUGUGGGAAGGAUAAAGCACCUCUUACAUUUAGAUUGUACUAGCCUGACGCCAGCAUUUUUUUGGUGCAAAAAUAAUCAUCUUCAUGUAA
Molecule: RNA transcript, 1155 nt
Organism: Populus euphratica (Euphrates poplar)
Lineage: Eukaryota; Viridiplantae; Streptophyta; Magnoliopsida; Malpighiales; Salicaceae
Gene name: transcription factor DIVARICATA-like
Exons: 3
Source: RefSeq, a predicted model, not a curated record